This 265-nucleotide long non-coding RNA is filed under the name Elaeis guineensis (African oil palm). RNAcentral describes it as "long non-coding RNA (EGUI_LNC058908)". Lineage: Eukaryota; Viridiplantae; Streptophyta; Magnoliopsida; Arecales; Arecaceae. The record is from RNAcentral.
GGGGUGGGGAUCUUGGGGAGGCAGUCGGGGGCUUGGAGAGGCUAUGAUGACUGCCUGUGCGAGAUGCACCUAAAGAGUUUAGAGAGAGAUUGAUGGAGGUGAUGCAUUUUUGUUCUUAUUGUUAUAGUUACAGGGCAAGCUUGGAUGGUCUGCUACAUCACAGGCAACCGCUCGUAGCCACCUUAUAGUUAAAGGUUCAGAGGAACUUGCAAUGCUUUAUUUUUCAAUGGUAGAUUUGAGCCUUCUUCUUUUUUAAUUACAAUAG